GUGGGGAAUAUUGGACAAUGGGGGGAACCCUGAUCCAGCCAUGCCGCGUGUGUGAAGAAGGCCUUUUGGUUGUAAAGCACUUUAAGCGAGGAGGAGGCUACCGAGAUUAAUACUCUUGGAUAGUGGACGUUACUCGCAGAAUAAGCACCGGCUAACUCUGUGCCAGCAGCCGCGGUAAUACAGAGGGUGCAAGCGUUAAUCGGAUUUACUGGGCGUAAAGCGCGCGUAGGUGGCCAAUUAAGUCAAAUGUGAAAUCCCCGAGCUUAACUUGGAAAUUACAUUCGAUACUGGUUGGCUAGAGUAUGGGAGAGGAUGGUAGAAUUCCAGGUGUAGCGGUGAAAUGCGUAGAGAUCUGGAGGAAUACCGAUGGCGAAGGUAGCCAUCUGGCCUAAUACUGACACUGAGGUGCGAAAGCAUGAGGAGCGAACAGGAUUAGAAACCCUUGUAGUCC
Molecule: ribosomal RNA, 451 nt
Filed under: uncultured bacterium
Lineage: Bacteria
Description: partial 16S ribosomal RNA
Rfam family: Bacterial small subunit ribosomal RNA
Source: RNAcentral